This is a non-coding RNA of Rattus norvegicus (Norway rat), 2272 nucleotides long. The record is from RefSeq and is a predicted model, not a curated record. Lineage: Eukaryota; Metazoa; Chordata; Mammalia; Rodentia; Muridae.
GGCAAAGUAAUGGAAUGGAGAUGAAGGGAAAAAAAAAUGUGCAGGAAUCAGGAGCAUAAUGCCACCAUGAACAAGCAGCUGUCUGGAUUUUUAAAGAGCAAAUUCCAUGAGACAAAUUUAAUUGCAUUUUUUAAUAGAAUUAAAAAAAAAAAAAACCUUCUACCACAUUAGUGGGUGAAGGCAACGAAAUGGAUGCAUCCAGAAAUCUCACUUGAAAGAUGAAUUCAACCGAGCGGAUUCUGAGCUCCGCUUCCGGGAUGGAAACCUGGCUGGAAAUGCCACGUGAGCAGCCGGUGGGCGGCUGCCGGUGGGCGGCUGUGCACUGGCUGGGAGACGGUGGCCAGCGGAGUGCUUCUGGCAGGCUCCGAGACGGGCCUGCAUCUACAGUGCGUCCUUAUUAAUGACUUGCAGGAGGUGAUGAGCAGAACAUUAAUUAAACGUGCACAUGUGGCCAAGUGGGAAAUUGGCGGCGAGAACAGCAGAGGCAGGCACAUAAUAUCCAGUCCUGUACGCCAUUGAGAAGAUAAAAAUGAAAAAAUCGAAGACAUUUGAUGCUGUAUUAAGGAGCAAGCCGACCUGACAGGCCUGAUCUUGGCACCCUAUCAACAUGUCCGGCUAGGAAACAGGACCAGCCAAUAUGUGGUUCCUAGCUUGCUUUCUCGUCAGUGGACCUGACACAGCACCAUAGCUCUGCCUGAGCCAUGGCAGCAUUUGAUGAAAAUUUCUUAUGCCCGGGAGUAUAAUCCACACAAAUUAUUCAGAUGUAAAACACAUUGUGAUCAAAAUUACCAGCCUCAGAGUCAUGUAGAUCCAAUGGCUGGGGAACAGUUGGGUCAUUUUCUUUUUUCAGGAUUGUGUCACCAAGUUUGGAAGGACGCUGGGCUUUGGACCAGGUCGCCAGCUCUGAGGACAGCCAUACAGAAAUGCUAGGGCAUGUGGUCUUUUGCUGGAAAUCGUCUUGAGAAUGGAUGAGUGUCCGUUUUUCCCAGUGGGACUUCUGCAGGAGGUGGCUGUCCUCUGGCUGAGAAAACCCUUUAUUGUCUUCAUAAAGAACAGUGUUAAUCAGGUGACAGCAGAUGCUGGCGAGGAUGCAGAGAAAGAGGAACACUCUUCCAUUGUUGGUGGGAUUACAGACUGGUACAACCAUUCUGGAAAUCAGUCUGGAGGUUCCUCAGAAAAUUGGACAUUGAACUACCUGAGGAUCCAGCUAUACCUCUCUUGGGCAUAUACCCAAAAGAUGCCCCAACAUAUAAAAAAGACACGUUCUCCACUAUGUUCAUCGCAGCCUUAUUUAUAAUAGCCAGAAGCUGGAAAGAACCUAGAUGCCCUUCAACAGAGGAAUGGAUACAGAAAAUGUGGUACAUCUACACAAUGGAAUAUUACUCAGCUAUCAAAAACAAUGACUUUAUGAAAUUCGUAGGCAAAUGGUCGGAACUGGAAAAUAUCAUCCUGAGUGAGGUAACCCAAUCACAGAAAAACACACAUGGUAUGCACUCAUUGAUAAGUGGCUAUUAGCCCAAAUGCUUGAAUUACCCUAGAUGCCUAGAACAAAUGAAACUCAAGACGGAUGAUCAAAAUGUGAAUGCUUCACUUCUUCUUUAAAAGGGGAACAAGAAUACCCUUGGCAGGGAAUAGAGAGGCAAAGAUUAAAACAGACACAGAAGGAACACCCAUUCAGAGCCUGCCCCACAUGUGGCCCAUGCAUAUACAGCCAUCCAAUUAGACAAGACGGAUGAAGCAAAGAAGUGCAGGCCGACAGGAGCCGGAUGUAGAUCUCUCCUGAGAGACACAGCCAGAAUACAGCAAACACAGAGGCGUAUGCCAGCAGCAAACCACUGAAUUGAGAAUAGGACCCCCGUUGAAGGAAUCAGAGAAAGAACUGGAAGAGCUUGAAGGGGCUCGAGACCCCUUAUGUACAACAAUGCCAAGCAACCAGAGCUUCCAGGGACUAAGCCACUACCUAAAGACUAUACAUGGACUGACCCUGGGCUCCAACCUCAUAGGUAGCAAUGAAUAUCCUAGUAAGAGCACCAGUGGAAGGGGAAGCCCUGGGUCCUGCUAAGACUGAACCCCCAGUGAACUAGACUAUGGGGGGAGGGCGGCAAUGGGGGGAGGGUUGGGAGGGGAACACCCAUAAAGAAGGGGAGGGGGAGGGGGGAGGGGGGAGGGGGGAGGGGGAUGUUUGCCUGGAAACCGGGAAAGGGAAUAACACUCGAAAUGUAUAUAAGAAAUACUCAAGUUAAUUAAAAAAAAAAGAACAGUGUUAAACAAA